GGCCUCGUAGCUCAGCUGGUAGGGCGUGCACGUACAAAGCGUAGGGGCGUCUAUGCAUGGGUUCGAGUCCCAACGAGGCUA
This 81-nucleotide transfer RNA is filed under the name Echinostoma caproni. It matches the Rfam family "tRNA". From Rfam's summary of the family: Transfer RNA (tRNA) molecules are approximately 80 nucleotides in length. Their secondary structure includes four short double-helical elements and three loops (D, anti-codon, and T loops). The record is from Rfam by way of RNAcentral. Lineage: Eukaryota; Metazoa; Platyhelminthes; Trematoda; Plagiorchiida; Echinostomatidae.